GCUUCGGUAGCUCAGCGGUAGUAGCGGUUCCUUUACACGGAAAUGGUCGGGGGUUCGAUCCCCUCUCGAAGCAC
Molecule: transfer RNA, 74 nt
Filed under: Microbacterium phage Zooman
Lineage: Duplodnaviria; Heunggongvirae; Uroviricota; Caudoviricetes
Description: tRNA-Val
Rfam family: tRNA
About the family: Transfer RNA (tRNA) molecules are approximately 80 nucleotides in length. Their secondary structure includes four short double-helical elements and three loops (D, anti-codon, and T loops).
Source: RNAcentral